Molecule: long non-coding RNA, 2760 nt
Filed under: Callithrix jacchus (white-tufted-ear marmoset)
Lineage: Eukaryota; Metazoa; Chordata; Mammalia; Primates; Cebidae
Description: lncRNA (ENSCJAG00000069719.1)
Source: RNAcentral
CAGUGGCCUGUCACCUUGCAAGGGACAGUGUGGGGCUUGCUGAUAUUGUUCCCCCAGUAGCAUCUAUGCCCAGGAACCAUGGAGAGCUUGGCCAGGAUGAUAGCCCCUUGGAUGGCAGUGGCUACCUCCCUGAAGCAUUCACACCCAGAAUGAUUUGGCCGUUGCAGUCUGAAUGGCAACAAGCGCCUUGAACCUGGUGCACUGGCCAGUGCAGGUCUGCUUCUGCACCAGCAUGAUCUUUAAAACCUCAUCUUUGAGAGAAGCCCCCAGCAAAAAGUAAUAAUGAUAUCAGACUCUUUGAUGGGGAGGGAGAAGAGACAGACCUUCUCCAGGGACUUGAUCGUCAUGUCCUUGACCAGGCAGGCCAGCCUGGUGACAGGCAUCCACUCCUUAUCCUCACCCUUGCCUCCAAGAGCACCACAGCCUUGGAGCUCUCAUGGCCCUGGCCCUGGCCCUGCACCUGGCCCUGACCCCAGCCCCAGACUGCCAGUGCUGAAGCCUCUGUAGAGACUGUUGCAGUUCCUCAUCCCAGGGCCCCAUUUGGAGUUUUCUCAGAAGAAACUCUGUCAUCUUCGUACAUGAGAAAUGUAAAAACUAUGUUUUCCACAUUGUGGUUCAUGUUUUCUGUUACUUGCAGCUGAACGCAUUCCUGUGCCAUCAAUCAUGUCCACUUUAGAGAUAAACAGGUUCUCAAAAAAGGGGAGGUCUCCCUUUGGAGCCAGCUUGUUUCCUGGAACUGGAGAUUCAGGUGGAAGAGGAGAAAAGUCCGUCUGCCUGGGGGUUGAGCUGGGGAUGAAGAGUAGAGUUUCUGGCAGAGAAGUCUUGGGGGUCUUCAAACUGAUUGGCAUCCGCUGUUGUGCUGGAAUUCAAGAUCUGAAAAACAUCUUAAGCAAUUGAUAAACAGAAGCCAUGGUCAGGCAUGGUGGCUCAUGCCUAUAAUCCCAGGACCUUGGGAGGCUGAGCUUGGAGGAUCACGAGCUCAGGCGAUAGAGACCAUCCUGUCCAACAAGGGGAAACCUAGUCUCUACUAAAGAUACAAAAAAUUAGCCGGGCGUGGUGACGCGAGCCUGUAGUUUCAGCUACUCGGAAGGCUGAGGCAGGAGAAUCGCUUGAACUUGGGAGGUGGAGGUUGCAGUGAGCUGAGAAAAAAACAGCCAUGUGAUUCUAAUGUCAGAAAUCCUAUCGAACAAUAAGAACAAUGGGGAUGCUGAUGAUCAGUGUUACGGUUGCAAGGAAGUGGGUGAAAGGGCAGCCUGAUUAAUGCUUAAUUAUAACCACAUUUCUGUCCAGGGUUCUUGUUAACCCUGUGAAGGCAGCUUCAGGAACAGUAGAGAGCAUUUGAAAUCAGCACUGUUUUUGAGAACUUUGGCCUAUCCCACUAGCGGGCCUGUGGAUCUUCCUUUAGAAAUGUACCAAAUUGGCUGGGCACGGUGGUUCACGCCUGUAAUCCCAGCACUUUGGGAGGCUGAGACGGGUGGAUCACAUGAGGUUAGAAGUUCAAGACCAGCCUGGCCAACAUGAUGAAAUCCUCAUCUCUACUAAAAAUACAAAAAAAUUAGCCAGGAGUGGUGGCGGGCACCUAUAAUCCCAGCUACCCAGGAGGCUGAGGCAGCUUGAACUGGGGAAGUGGGGGUUGCAGUCCAAGAUUGUGCCACUGCACUCCAGCCUGGGUGACAGAGUGAGACUCUGUCUAAAAAAAAGAGAAAUUUACCAAACUUGGCUGAGAGAGGCUUGAGAGUGACUCCUCAUGGUGUUAGAAUUUUUUUUUGAGACGGAGUUUUGGUCUUGUUUCCCAGGAUGGAGGGCAAUGGUGCAAUCUCAGCUCACCGCAACCUCCGCCUCCUGGGUUCAGGCAAUUCUCCUUCCUCAGCCUCCUGAGUAGCUGGGAUUACAGGCAUGCGCCACCAUGCCCAGCUAAUUUUUUGUAUUUUUAGUAGAGACAGGGUUUCACCAUGUUGACCAGGAUGGUCUCGAUCUCUUGACCUCGUGAUUCACCCGCCUCGGCCUCCCAAAGUGCUGGGAUUACAGGCUUGAGCCACCAUGCCAGGCCAUGCCGCAAAAGUAGCACUCAAGUAUAAAUGUCCUCAGCAAGGCAAUUUACUUCUAUAGAAGGGUGCAGCUCACAGAUGGAACGAUGGUGAGUGUACACCUGGACAAGGAGGGGAGGGUACUUAUGCCUGACGGGGGUCGCCCCUGCUGCCGUGUCAUUCCCCUGUUGGCUAGGGUUAGACCACGCAAGCUAGACUCAUCCCAAGUGGCUAUUUUAAAGAGAGCAGGGGUCCGAGCUGGAGUGGCAGGGUGAGUGUUUUGGCGGGAAGGAUGGUUAUGGGCGGGUCAGAGCAGGUAGCCAGGGGUGACCUAGGUCAAAGAAGGUGACUGGAGCAGGUGACCGGGAUGAGUCAGGAUGUGGCAGGGGACCAGGGGAACAGAUGUGAACUACUCAUUAGAACUGGUGGAGAAGGUUGUUUACUGAAACUACAAGGAAGUCAAACUUUAAGAUAGAGAAUUAAAGAAUAAGAGAGCUGAACAUACUGACAUACUGAUUCUUUGAAGAGGAAACUGAGGUUCACUACGUCUCACAAUAGCGAAAGCGAGUCACAUAGGGAAGACAGGACAGGUGUUUUUCCUUUAGUGAUCUUUCUAGAUUCUGACAGCCAAAUCAUUUUUCACGUUGAUACCAAAUAUAUCCUAAAAUGGGAGUUUAAUCAUGCCUCUCUCCUCCUCAAAAACCCACAGUAGCUCCCUAUUGCCGACAGGGUA